ACACGCGCACGCACACACACACACACACACACACACACACACACACACACACACACACACACACACACACACACACACACACACACACACACANNNNNNNNNNACACACACACACACACACACACACACACACACACACACACACACACACACACACACACACACACACACACACACACACACACACACACACAGUCCUCUGCUGAGGACAAGGACAAGGGCCAGAAUGUCAGCGCCGUGGACUGCUACUACAUGUGCCAGGCAAGUA
RNAcentral lists this long non-coding RNA (268 nucleotides) under Dunaliella salina. RNAcentral's name for it is "long non-coding RNA (DSAL_LNC000103)". The record is from RNAcentral. Lineage: Eukaryota; Viridiplantae; Chlorophyta; Chlorophyceae; Chlamydomonadales; Dunaliellaceae.